This 492-nucleotide ribosomal RNA is filed under the name uncultured bacterium. RNAcentral describes it as "partial 16S ribosomal RNA". It matches the Rfam family "Bacterial small subunit ribosomal RNA", at positions 29 to 507 of the family's 1533-position model. The record is from RNAcentral.
AGUGAACGCUGGCGGUAGGCCUAACACAUGCAAGUCGAACGGCAGCACAGUAAGAGCUUGCUCUUACGGGUGGCGAGUGGCGGACGGGUGAGGAAUACAUCGGAAUCUACUUUUUCGUGGGGGAUAACGUAGGGACACUUACGCUAAUACCUCAUACGACCUACGGGUUAAAGCAGUGGAUCUUCGGACCUUGCGCGAUUGAAUUAGCCGAUGUCGGAUUAGCUAGUUGGCGGGGUAAAGGCCCACCAAGGCGACGAUCCGUAGCUGGUCUGAGAGGAUGAUCAGCCACACUGGAACUGAGACACGGUCCAGACUCCUACGGGAGGCAGCAGUGGGGAAUAUUGGACAAUGGGCGCAAGCCUGAUCCAGCCAUACCGCGUGGGUGAAGAAGGCCUUCGGGUUGUAAAGCCCUUUUGUUGGGGAAGAAAAGCAGCAGGUUAAUACCCCGCUGUUCUGACGGUACCCAAAGAAUAAGCACCGGCUAACUUCGUG